UAGGGAAUCUUCGGCAAUGGACGAAAGUCUGACAGAGCAACGCCGCGUGAGUGAAGAAGGUGUUCGGAUCGUAAAACUCUGUUGUUAGAGAAGAACAAGGACGUUAGUAACUGAACGUCCCCUGACGGUAUCUAACCAGAAAGCCACGGCUAACUACGUGCCAGCAGCCGCGGUAAUACGUAGGUGGCAAGCGUUGUCCGGAUUUAUUGGGCGUAAAGCGAGCGCAGGCGGUUUCUUAAGUCUGAUGUGAAAGCCCCCGGCUCAACCGGGGAGGGUCAUUGGAAACUGGGAGACUUGAGUGCAGAAGAGGAGAGUGGAAUUCCAUGUGUAGCGGUGAAAUGCGUAGAUAUAUGGAGGAACACCAGUGGCGAAGGCGGCUCUCUGGUCUGUAACUGACGCUGAGGCUCGAAAGCGUGGGGAGCAAACAGG
Molecule: ribosomal RNA, 429 nt
Filed under: Gemmatimonadota bacterium
Lineage: Bacteria; Pseudomonadati; Gemmatimonadota
Description: Gemmatimonadetes bacterium partial 16S ribosomal RNA
Rfam family: Bacterial small subunit ribosomal RNA
Source: RNAcentral